CAGUCGCCGCGGUAAUACAGAGGGUGCGAGCGUUAAUCGGAUUUACUGGGCGUAAAGCGUGUGUAGGUUGUUGUUCAAGUCAGUUGUGAAAUCCCUGGGCUCAACCUGGGAACUGCUUCUGAGACUGAACGACUAGAGUACGGUAGAGGGUGGUGGAAUUUCCGGUGUAGCGGUGAAAUGCGUAGAUAUCGGAAGGAACAUCAAUGGCGAAGGCAGCCACCUGGGCCUGUACUGACACUGAGACACGAAAGCGUGGGGAUCAAACAGGAUUAGAUACCCGCGUAGUCCCUGUCUCUUAUAC
This 301-nucleotide ribosomal RNA is filed under the name uncultured bacterium. Its description in RNAcentral is "partial 16S ribosomal RNA". It matches the Rfam family "Bacterial small subunit ribosomal RNA", at positions 509 to 807 of the family's 1533-position model. The record is from RNAcentral.